This 300-nucleotide ribosomal RNA is filed under the name uncultured Acidobacteriota bacterium. RNAcentral's name for it is "bacterial SSU rRNA". It matches the Rfam family "Bacterial small subunit ribosomal RNA", at positions 46 to 342 of the family's 1533-position model. The record is from RNAcentral. Lineage: Bacteria; Pseudomonadati; Acidobacteriota.
GCCUAACACAUGCAAGUCGGACGAGAAAGUGGGAGCAAUCCUGCGAGUACAGUGGCAGACGGGUGAGUAACACGUGAACGACCUACCCUUGAGUGGGGAAUAACACCGCGAAAGCGGUGCUAAUACCGCAUAACAUCUCAUAGUCGCAUGGCGGUGAGAUCAAAAGCGUAAGUUGCUUGAGGAGGGGUUCGCGGCUGAUUAGCUAGUUGGUGAGGUAACGGCCCACCAAGGNAACGAUCAGUAGCCGGCCUGAGAGGGCGAACGGCCACACUGGAACUGAGACACGGUCCAGACUCCUAC